RNAcentral lists this ribosomal RNA (253 nucleotides) under uncultured prokaryote. RNAcentral's name for it is "partial 16S ribosomal RNA". It matches the Rfam family "Bacterial small subunit ribosomal RNA", at positions 525 to 777 of the family's 1533-position model. The record is from RNAcentral.
ACGUAGGGUGCGAGCGUUGUCCGGAUUUAUUGGGCGUAAAGAGCUCGUAGGCGGCUCGUCGCGUCGACCGUGAAAGCCCGGGGCUUAACUCCGGGUCUGCAUUCGAUACGGGCAGGCUAGAGUUCGGUAGGGGAGAUCGGAAUUCCUGGUGUAGCGGUGAAAUGCGCAGAUAUCAGGAGGAACACCGGUGGCGAAGGCGGAUCUCUGGGCCGAUACUGACGCUGAGGAGCGAAAGCGUGGGGAGCGAACAGGA